This 465-nucleotide ribosomal RNA is filed under the name uncultured bacterium. RNAcentral's name for it is "bacterial SSU rRNA". It matches the Rfam family "Bacterial small subunit ribosomal RNA", at positions 338 to 795 of the family's 1533-position model. The record is from RNAcentral.
CCUACGGGUCGCACCAGUGGGGAAUAUUGCACAAUGGGUGCAAGCCUGAUGCAGCCAUGCCGCGUGUAUGAAGAAGGCCUUCGGGUUGUAAAGUACUUUCAGCGGGGAGGAAGGCGAUAAGGUUAAUAACCUUGUCGAUUGACGUUACCCGCAGAAGAAGCACCGGCUUACUCCGUGCCAGCAGCCGCGGUAAUACGGAGGAUGCAAGCGUUAAUCGGAAUUACUGGGCGUAAAGCGCACGCAGGCGGUCUGUCAAGUCAGAUGUGAAAUCCCCGGGCUCAACCUGGGAACUGCAUCUGAUACUGGCAAGCUUGAGUCUCGUAGAGGGGGGUAGAAUUCCAGGUGUAGCGGUGAAAUGCGUAGAGAUCUGGAGGAAUACCGGUGGCGAAGGCGGCCCCCUGGACAAAGACUGACGCUCAGGUGCGAAAGCGUGGGGAGCAAACAGGAUUAGAUACCCGGGUAGUC